AUUGAACGCUGGCGGCAGGCUUAACACAUGCAAGUCGAGCGGGGUGAUGGUGCUUGCACUAUCACUUAGCGGCGGACGGGUGAGUAAUGCUUAGGAAUCUGCCUAUUAGUGGGGGACAACAUCUCGAAAGGGAUACUAAUACCGCAUACGUCCUACGGGAGAAAGCAGGGGAUCACUUGUGACCUUGCGCUAAUAGAUGAGCCUAAGUCGGAUUAGCUAGUUGGUGGGGUAAAGGCCUACCAAGGCGACGAUCUGUAGCGGGUCUGAGAGGAUGAUCCGCCACACUGGGACUGAGACACGGCCCAGACUCCUACGGGAGGCAGCAGUGGGGAAUAUUGGACAAUGGGGGGAACCCUGAUCCAGCCAUGCCGCGUGUGUGAAGAAGGCCUUAUGGUUGUAAAGCACUUUAAGCGAGGAGGAGGCUCUUUUGGUUAAUACCCAAGAUGAGUGGACGUUACUCGCAGAGUAAGCACCGGCUAACUCUGUGCCAGCCGCCGCAGUAA
RNAcentral lists this ribosomal RNA (503 nucleotides) under uncultured bacterium. Its description in RNAcentral is "partial 16S ribosomal RNA". It matches the Rfam family "Bacterial small subunit ribosomal RNA", at positions 30 to 523 of the family's 1533-position model. The record is from RNAcentral.